CGGCCUUGUGGGGAAGGGUGCAAGCCCGGGUUCCCGAGGCUCGUGGAAUCUUCUGGAGCCCUUAACUCCGCUGUGCGGGCUAGGAAAUACUGAUGUCUCCUGCUGGAGCCGGUAUGGCCUCGGAGCGGUGUGAUUCUGAGGCAAUUUGGGGUUCCAAAUCAGUGGGGUCACCGUUCAGGAGGACCAGGAAGGGAUCGGGUACAGGGUCCUGGAAAGGAGCUGUGUUCAGAAGGGGAGCCUUUUGGAACAAAGCGCGGCACCCAGCCCCCGGCGCCUCCUUCGCUCUUUUCGGCAUGUUUAAUCGCUUUAGUUCUGAGCCCGGAGGUUCUAGAAACUCGCCAAGCAAGGCGGGCCUAGUCCCAGACCAAGCUCACACAGGCUUGCCUCUUGCUCUUUUCCACGCGCAGCUCAGAGCUUCGUAGUUCACCAGACUGCGGGUUCCUAGACACUCGUUAUAUCAGCGUCCGACCUUGCAGGCUCCUGGAUCUUGCUGGUUGCUUUGUGUCGAGGACAGGUAUCCUGGGGCUGAACAGGGAGAGGAUUGGAAAACCUUGAUGCAAAGAGAACUAUGGAUUGUGGUCAAAUUUCCCCCCAGUUUGAGUAAUAGCAAUAAAGGCUGUUAACAAAUUAAUUAUUCGACAUCACUUUUAAGUCGCACCGGUCAGUUAACC
This 671-nucleotide long non-coding RNA is filed under the name Marmota monax (woodchuck). The record is from RNAcentral. Lineage: Eukaryota; Metazoa; Chordata; Mammalia; Rodentia; Sciuridae.